Molecule: unclassified non-coding RNA, 219 nt
Filed under: Hevea brasiliensis (rubber tree)
Lineage: Eukaryota; Viridiplantae; Streptophyta; Magnoliopsida; Malpighiales; Euphorbiaceae
Source: RNAcentral
GGAAAAUCCUUUUUGCUUUGCUUAGCCUUAUUAUGAAGAUCGUAUUUGGUCAAACCAUGACUAACAGUGCCAACUAAGCAUUUAAAUUCUCUUUUUUCGGAGGAUUUCAUUAACCCAUUACUCGAAUUGGCAAAUUGGCAAUCAGUCUAUAAGCUCUACUUUACAACAACUUUAAUUCAUUUACAUGUGUAAUCAAUUGAUAAAUAAUUUUUUAUUUAC